RNAcentral lists this ribosomal RNA (207 nucleotides) under uncultured Glomeromycotina. RNAcentral describes it as "partial small subunit ribosomal RNA". It matches the Rfam family "Eukaryotic small subunit ribosomal RNA", at positions 569 to 1096 of the family's 1831-position model. The record is from RNAcentral. Lineage: Eukaryota; Fungi; Glomeromycota.
AGCAGCCGCGGUAAUUCCAGCUCCAAUAGCGUAUAUUUAAGUUGUUGCAGUUAAAAGCUGUAGUUGGACUUUGGGCCGGGUCGGCCGGUCCGCCUCCGAAAGUUGGGGCGUCGAAGACAUCAGAUACCGUCCUAGUCUCAACCAUAAACGAUGCCGACCAGGGAUCGGCGGAUGUUGUUAUAGGACUCCGCCGGCACCUUAUGGGAA